Molecule: ribosomal RNA, 696 nt
Filed under: Streptomyces sp.
Lineage: Bacteria; Bacillati; Actinomycetota; Actinomycetes; Kitasatosporales; Streptomycetaceae
Description: bacterial SSU rRNA
Rfam family: Bacterial small subunit ribosomal RNA
Source: RNAcentral
GUGGGGAUUAGUGGCGAACGGGUGAGUAACACGUGGGCAAUCUGCCCUGCACUCUGGGACAAGCCCUGGAAACGGGGUCUAAUACCGGAUACUGAACCGCUUGGGCAUCCAGGCGGUUCGAAAGCUCCGGCGGUGCAGGAUGAGCCCGCGGCCUAUCAGCUUGUUGGUGAGGUAACGGCUCACCAAGGCGACGACGGGUAGCCGGCCUGAGAGGGCGACCGGCCACACUGGGACUGAGACACGGCCCAGACUCCUACGGGAGGCAGCAGUGGGGAAUAUUGCACAAUGGGCGAAAGCCUGAUGCAGCGACGCCGCGUGAGGGAUGACGGCCUUCGGGUUGUAAACCUCUUUCAGCAGGGAAGAAGCGAAAGUGACGGUACCUGCAGAAGAAGCGCCGGCUAACUACGUGCCAGCAGCCGCGGUAAUACGUAGGGCGCGAGCGUUGUCCGGAAUUAUUGGGCGUAAAGAGCUCGUAGGCGGCUUGUCGCGUCGGUUGUGAAAGCCCGGGGCUUAACCCCGGGUCUGCAGUCGAUACGGGCAGGCUAGAGUUCGGUAGGGGAGAUCGGAAUUCCUGGUGUAGCGGUGAAAUGCGCAGAUAUCAGGAGGAACACCGGUGGCGAAGGCGGAUCUCUGGGCCGAUACUGACGCUGAGGAGCGAAAGCGUGGGGAGCGAACAGGAUUAGAUACCCUGGUAGU